This 468-nucleotide ribosomal RNA is filed under the name uncultured bacterium. RNAcentral describes it as "partial 16S ribosomal RNA". It matches the Rfam family "Bacterial small subunit ribosomal RNA", at positions 28 to 507 of the family's 1533-position model. The record is from RNAcentral.
GACGAACGCUGGCGGCGUGCUUAACACAUGCAAGUCGAACGGAAAGGCCCUGCUUUUGUGGGGUGCUCGAGUGGCGAACGGGUGAGUAACACGUGAGUAACCUGCCCUUGACUUUGGGAUAACUUCAGGAAACUGGGGCUAAUACCGGCUAGGAGCUCCUGCUGCAUGGUGGGGGUUGGAAAGUUUCGGCGGUUGGGGAUGGACUCGCGGCUUAUCAGCUUGUUGGUGGGGUAGUGGCUUACCAAGGCUUUGACGGGUAGCCGGCCUGAGAGGGUGACCGGCCACCUUGCGACUGCGAUACGGCCCAGACUCCUACGGGAGGCAGCAGUGGGGAAUAUUGCACAAUGGGCGGAAGCCUGAUGCAGCAACGCCGCGUGCGGGAUGACGGCCUUCGGGUUGUAAACCGCUUUCGCCUGUGACGAAGCGUGAGUGACGGUAAUGGGUAAAGAAGCACCGGCUAACUACGUG